UGGGGAAUAUUGCGCAAUGGGCGAAAGCCUGACGCAGCGACGCCGCGUGAGGGAUGAAGGUUUUCGGAUCGUAAACCUCUGUCCGAAGGGAAGAAACCGCACUGUGCUAAUCAGCAGUGCCCUGACGGUACCUUCAAAGGAAGCACCGGCUAACUCCGUGCCAGCAGCCGCGGUAAUACGGAGGGUGCAAGCGUUAAUCGGAAUUACUGGGCGUAAAGCGCACGUAGGCUGCUUUGUAAGUCAGGGGUGAAAUCCCACGGCUCAACCGUGGAACUGCCUUUGAUACUGCUUAGCUUGAAUCCGGGAGAGGGUGGCGGAAUUCCAGGUGUAGGAGUGAAAUCCGUAGAUAUCUGGAGGAACAUCAGAGGCGAAGGCGGCCACCUGGACCGGUAUUGACGAUGAGGUGCGAAAGCGUGGGGAGCAAACAGG
This 429-nucleotide ribosomal RNA is filed under the name Fusobacteriota bacterium. RNAcentral describes it as "Fusobacteria bacterium partial 16S ribosomal RNA". It matches the Rfam family "Bacterial small subunit ribosomal RNA", at positions 355 to 776 of the family's 1533-position model. The record is from RNAcentral. Lineage: Bacteria; Fusobacteriati; Fusobacteriota.